UGGGGAAUUUUGGACAAUGGGCGCAAGCCUGAUCCAGCCAUGCCGCGUGCGGGAAGAAGGCCUUCGGGCUGUAAACCGCUUUUGUCAGGGAAGAAAUCUUCUGAGUUAAUACCUCGGGAGGAUGACGGUACCUGAAGAAUAAGCACCGGCUAACUACGUGCCAGCAGCCGCGGUAAUACGUAGGGUGCAAGCGUUAAUCGGGAUUACUGGGCGUAAAGCGUGCGCAGGCGGUUUUGUAAGACAGAGGUGAAAUCCCCGGGCUCAACCUGGGAACUGCCUUUGUGACUGCAAGGCUUGAGUGCGGCAGAGGGGGAUGGAAUUCCGCGUGUAGCAGUGAAAUGCGUAGAUAUGCGGAGGAACACCGAUGGCGAAGGCAAUCCCCUGGGCCUGCACUGACGCUCAUGCACGAAAGCGUGGGGAGCAAACAGGAUUAGAUAGCUCUGGUAGUCCACGCCCUAAAACGAUGUCAACUGGUUGUUGGGAAGGUUCCUUCUCAGUAACGUAGCUAACGCGUGAAGUUGACCGCCUGGGGAGUACGGCCGCAAGGUU
RNAcentral lists this ribosomal RNA (549 nucleotides) under uncultured bacterium. RNAcentral describes it as "partial 16S ribosomal RNA". It matches the Rfam family "Bacterial small subunit ribosomal RNA", at positions 355 to 895 of the family's 1533-position model. The record is from RNAcentral.